GGGAUGGAGAUAUGUUGGAUGUCAAACAACAGUCAGAUGGUAGAGCAGGAAUCUCUAUCUCAAACUUUCAGCUUCAGAAAUCCGCAGUUCCGCUCAAGUCAGAAAGAGAAAGACAGGAAUCUGGAAGGUCAUUGUACCUGUUUUCAUUUUGGUGGCAACUCUGAUGGGCGUGUUAGGAUACAUUUAUCUGUUCAGGAGGAAUAAGACUAGUAGGAAUGGAAAACCGAAACAACUCCAAAGGGUGUUGCCUGAUUUUUAGAAAACCAAGGAUAUCUACAACGAUGUAACUCUGGAUACAAACUUGUUUAACAAUGGUAAAACGGAAGA
Molecule: long non-coding RNA, 327 nt
Organism: Papaver somniferum (opium poppy)
Lineage: Eukaryota; Viridiplantae; Streptophyta; Magnoliopsida; Ranunculales; Papaveraceae
Exons: 3
Source: RefSeq, a predicted model, not a curated record